AUUGAACGCUGGCGGCAUGCUUUACACAUGCAAGUCGAACGGUAACAGGGAGCUUGCUCCGCUGACGAGUGGCGAACGGGUGAGUAAUGCAUCGGAACGUACCCAGUCGUGGGGGAUAACGUAGCGAAAGUUACGCUAAUACCGCAUACGUCCUGAGGGAGAAAGCGGGGGACCGAAAGGCCUCGCGCGAUUGGAGCGGCCGAUGUCGGAUUAGCUAGUUGGUAGGGUAAAGGCCUACCAAGGCGACGAUCCGUAGCGGGUCUGAGAGGAUGAUCCGCCACACUGGGACUGAGACACGGCCCAGACUCCUACGGGAGGCAGCAGUGGGGAAUUUUGGACAAUGGGUGCAAGCCUGAUCCAGCAAUGCCGCGUGCAGGAUGAAGGCCUUCGGUUGUAACUGCUUUGUACGGAGCGAAAAGGUCUCUUCUAAUACAGGAGGCCCGAUGACGGUACCGUAAGAAUAAGCACCGGCUAACUACGUG
This 482-nucleotide ribosomal RNA is filed under the name uncultured bacterium. Its description in RNAcentral is "bacterial SSU rRNA". It matches the Rfam family "Bacterial small subunit ribosomal RNA", at positions 30 to 507 of the family's 1533-position model. The record is from RNAcentral.